UACGUAGGGGGCGAGCGUUGUCCGGAAUCACUGGGCGUAAAGCGCGCGUAGGCGGCCCGGCGCAUCCACUGUGAAAUCCCCCGGCUCAACCGGGGGCGGUCUGUGGAGAUGGCCGGGCUGGAGGACAGCAGAGGCAGGUGGAAGUCCCGGAGGAGUGGUGACAUGCGUAGAUACCGGGAGGAACACCAGAGGCGAAGGCGGCCUGCUGGGCUGUGCCUGACGCUGAGGCGCGAAAGCUAGGGGAGCGAACGGA
Molecule: ribosomal RNA, 253 nt
Filed under: uncultured bacterium
Lineage: Bacteria
Description: partial 16S ribosomal RNA
Rfam family: Bacterial small subunit ribosomal RNA
Source: RNAcentral